Molecule: long non-coding RNA, 981 nt
Organism: Anguilla rostrata (American eel)
Lineage: Eukaryota; Metazoa; Chordata; Actinopteri; Anguilliformes; Anguillidae
Exons: 2
Source: RefSeq, a predicted model, not a curated record
UGCAAAUGAGGUAGGAUUACUAAUUUCAAUCAAGAAAAACUAUGCUAGAAGCACACCACAUUCCACAUGAAGCCAGCUGUUUGUUGGCAUUAGUUCUGAGAAGCCCUGAAAGUGCCUCAUACUCCCUCUGGUGCCCCAUGUCAGUACUGCCCUGUAAAAAAAGGAUAUCAAUCAGAAUAAUUUUACUUCAAAGAACACUGUGCAUGUCAGGCGGGCAUUAUUACAGGUUCAUGCACAGAAUGAAAAAGCUUCGCACCACCCUUUCUUCAACAGCACACAUGCUCAUUCUGGUUACGUAAUGAUAAGAGCCAUCCAGCAAACGAGUAGUCGUUUGGAUACUGCAUAGCAGCACCAUCCACUGAAUUCCAGCUCAUUGUGGAGAGGAGGAACCUGCUGCCUCAGCCUCUCUCCCUCACAGUGAGUCAUUAACUUAUUGCCUCGUGGAGAACUGAGGGGGAGGCAGCAGCAUAUGCUUCAACAAAUGUGCCUCCCUUUCCUACAGUGAUGAAGCAGGAGAAAAUAUGGAUAAUGAGACAGAUAGCGAGUGACAGAGAGGGGGGAGGAGCAUUCUCAGUGACACCUUAAAACAGGCAAAAUCAUAAUGACAAAUAAAUGAGAGACUUUCUCUUGGUGUCAGCGAUGACAAUGCCAUUUGUUUGUGUGCCUGGUGAGCGGAGCAGAGGGUCACUGGCACAAUUGGGAGCACCUGUGGCUACGGCUGCAGAGAUGUUAAGAGGCACCUGUUUCUGAUUUGAAGAGGGCUCUUUCCCCACAGAUAUCUUUUGGCUUCCGUUUUGGCAUUGACUGCUUUUGUUAGCUGUUUUUGGGUUUAAGCCAUGCAACAUUGGUUCACCAUAGUUUUCACACAUCUACCCGCCUACACUCCUGAUGGUACUGACUUAUACACCCCACACUUGUCUGUCUUUUUUGUUUUUGUAAAUUUAGGUUAGCUAAAAUAAAUUUGACCUUUCUUGUAAAGUA